Peromyscus maniculatus bairdii (prairie deer mouse) is the source of this 661-nucleotide non-coding RNA. The record is from RefSeq and is a predicted model, not a curated record. NCBI's taxonomy places the organism in Eukaryota, Metazoa, Chordata, Mammalia, Rodentia, Cricetidae.
UAGUAAAAACCAGGCUCAGCCACAAAUAACACCUCUGUGGCAGAGGAUAUCGCUGUCUGGAAAGCUGUGAUGUACCCAAGAUCAUCCAACAAAGGAAGAGCCAAGCCAGCUGGUACCAAGUGGAGAUGGGGGUCAGAUACACUUGGCGGGUCACCUCUUCACCUUCUCUUCCAAGCCUUGCCAACUCCAGUUCCUCCUGGAGUUCUCAUACCUACUGGCUGGUACCCGGCUGGCUGUGGGUCAUCAGGAGAAAGCAGGCUGUGGAGACAGUGAGCCCUGACCACCCUCCCUUCCGGCUGGCUGUGGGUCAUCAGGAGAAAGCGGGCUGUGGAGACAGUGAGCCCUGACCACCCUCCCUCCAUGCUCAGGCGUCACCCAGUGUUUCCUAACUUGAACCCACCAGGCCGUCCCCACAGAGCAGGGGACACCGGGGAUGAUGGGAUUCCUGUUCUACUGUUUCACCUACACAGAUGCCUAUGGAGGGAAGUCAGGCAAAAGGCCACCGUGAAGAAGACACUGCCUGAAAGGGAAAAAAAAAUGAAUUCACUUACUUCAAAGUGACCCGAAGCCCUGUAACAGUCCAUCUGCUGCGGGAUGAUCUUUCUGUAUGCUGUGAAUUUGUGUUACUCUCAUUGGUUAAUAAUAAAGCUGUUUGGCCAAU